This 347-nucleotide ribosomal RNA is filed under the name uncultured bacterium. RNAcentral describes it as "partial 16S ribosomal RNA". It matches the Rfam family "Bacterial small subunit ribosomal RNA", at positions 338 to 682 of the family's 1533-position model. The record is from RNAcentral.
CCUACGGGAGGCAGCAGUGAGGAAUAUUGGUCAAUGGGCGCGAGCCUGAACCAGCCAAGUAGCGUGAAGGAUGACUGCCCUACGGGUUGUAAACUUCUUUUAUAAAGGAAUAAAGUGAGGCACGUGUGCCUUUUUGUAUGGACUUUAUGAAGAAGGAUCGGCUAACGCCGUGCCAGCAGCCGCGGUAAUACGGAGGAUCCGAGCGUUAUCCGGAUUUAUGGGGGUUAAAGGGAGCGUAGAUGGGUUGUUAAGUCAGUUGUUAAAGUUUGCGGCUCACCCGUAAAAUUGCAAUUGAUACUGGCAGUCUUGAGUACAGUUGAGGUAGUCGGCAUUCUUGGUGUAGCGGU